CUGUGUGUGUGACUGUGUGAAAAAGGUGGGUUUGCAUAAGCGAGAGUGUGAGCUGUAUGUUUGAAGCUGUGACAGGCUGAGUUUUAAGAAUCAUUACAUUUACAUGCAGCUUCAACUGAACCAGAAAACGGGAUAGGUUUGGAGAAAUGGAGCCAACUAGUUACUCGUGUGGAUGUGAAUAAUUUGGAAUAAGAAUAAAACUGCCGUUAACAGUGAGGCUGCAUGUAAGUGUAAUUGAUGUUUGUUUGUUUUUUCUGUGUUUUCAUGUGCAGACUCGUCUUGUGUUUUUGUUGGCGGUCUACGAUGUCUGAAAUAUCAGUAUGGCUGUUUACAGUUGUCAGGGAUGUGUUUUUGUUUUUCCUUUACCAUCUCCAUCGUCAAGUUUGUGGACAUAAAUCUAAUUUCUUAUGACAAAUUUCCACUUUUCUGUUCUUUAUCUGUGUUCUUUAUCUGAUCACGUCCCUGACAGUCAUUCCAUGAUCUCUUUUGUGACCCAAAUAACAGCAAAGCUUACGCAUUUAUAGCUGAAUCUAUCAAGACUUGGUAGGGAUGUGUUUUGAAAGAUGUAACAUUAAAAAAAAGCCACCUGGCUAUUGUCAAAUAUUAGAUGUCAUCCCAGACUUUUGCCUGGAAUUGGCACCCAAAUCUCUAAACCCCUUAAAGAAAAACUAGCCUUUAUUACAACUUCAUUCAACUUUUUGUAGUUCCAGCCAUAUGUUCUAUUUGUUAUGACAACCGUUUUAUCAUACACAAUCCAACUGAUGACUGGAGCUAUGCAAAUUAAGACCUAAGUUGAAAUAAAAUGUAGUAAACUUGUGCAUCAGUGGCCACAAAGGAGGUUAUGAUGAAUGCCGUUGUGAAUGUUGAGUGAUUCUGUUGAUUUUGUCAUCUGGUGUUAAGACGUCUGUGUCUGCUGCUGUGUGUGUGUGUGUGUGUGUGGG
Molecule: long non-coding RNA, 941 nt
Organism: Sander lucioperca (pikeperch)
Lineage: Eukaryota; Metazoa; Chordata; Actinopteri; Perciformes; Percidae
Exons: 3
Source: RefSeq, a predicted model, not a curated record